RNAcentral lists this long non-coding RNA (25973 nucleotides) under Musa acuminata (dwarf banana). RNAcentral describes it as "long non-coding RNA (MACU_LNC000772)". The record is from RNAcentral. Lineage: Eukaryota; Viridiplantae; Streptophyta; Magnoliopsida; Zingiberales; Musaceae.
UUGUGAGUGUGAUGCAGAAGUAUGACAGCAAUGGAUUGUUCUCUUCAGACUGGACCGAUGCGGUGCUGGGACUGCGAGGGAAGGAAGUUGUGGUGCAGGGAGAUGGUUGUGCAAUGGAGGGGCUGUGCAUUUGCUCCACCGAUGACCACUGCGCUCCUAAACUAGGCUAUUAUUGUCGACCUGGGGAAGUCUAUGAGCAGGCUCGAGUUUGCCGGAAGAUAAAAUCCGUGGAAGCUGAUGGUUUGGCAUGGAGCGCAUGAUACCAUUCACAUUCAUUUGCUGUGAGGUUUAUUUCUGUGUCACUUCCUCUUCGAAUAAAGGAUGAAAUGUCAGUCAAUAAUUACUACAUAGUUUAUUAUUGUGAUAUUAAAGCAAGCGUCGAUAAAUGCAAUAUUGUAUGGGACGCAGAUUACAUUCCUCCCGAUUUAUCUGUACAACUCCAAGAUGACUUAUACAAGUCAUUCUAUAGAACUAUAAUGUCUUAAUAAAUUUUUUUUGGGAAAAAAAUUAGGACAUAAUUUCUCAUUAUUUUUCAUAGCAAGAUCCCAUUUUGAAGGAAACGAACGCUCUCCAGUAUCCUUUGCAUGAAAGGAACGAGGAAGCAAGAAAUAAUUGUGCCAUUCUUAACGCCAUCGUGUGGAGAGAGAUAGUAUGUUAACGCGAUAUUCUUCGCUAUCAUUUCUUAAAAUAAUAAUGAUGAUUAAUGAUAAUAACCUGCGACUCACGUAAAUGUUCUGAUUAAUUUUACAUUAAUUACGCUUGACCCACGUUUCGUGACACAAAUGAAAUGGUAGUUCACACCGAUUACAUUUCAAAUUUUUGACUCAAAGCUCGUCCUAUGGAUCGCGAGAAUAAACCAUAUGGUAAGAAGCUACAUAAAUAUGGAAAUCACAAAGGAGGGUGAUUACUGUAAUUAACCCUUCCUCGAUGCCCCCAACUCCAAGAAACUACUGCUCUCUCUAGGUAACUCUACGGCGCAGCAUCCAAUCUUAUGUUUUUUCCUUUCUCAUCCUCGCAGUAUAAUUUAGAGAUAGCAAGUGGUCGCACCAUGAUCGAGGGAAACAGCAGCGAGAGCAAGCUGAGCCAGUACAUCAGGCCCCCGACCGGGAGCUGCGGCAUGCCCCGGACUUGUACGAUAGCAGCAUGGCCGGGAUCGCCGGCAAGGCGCAGUGUGGCACCGUCAUCGCGCUGUCUUCGCGCCUAUGGCUUUGGGCUGUGCUCGCGGACGAGCAGCAGCGAGGAAGAGAUCAACGACCUCAUCGGCGCCGUUUGCAAGAGCAAGAUGCGGGCCAUCCCGGUGGAGGAUGGGACGCCGGUGCCGAGGAGCCACAGUGUGGCGACGUUGAGGAUAGACGAAGACAAGCCGUGUGACUUCGAGGACGACCUCACGGUGGCCCUGGGGCCAAGGAGCUGUGGCUACGAUGUUGCCACCGAGAGGAAGGUGGGCUUCUAAUAAGCUUCAAGUUAGCUUGUGCGGUGAUCUAACACGAACAGUAAACAUCCGAGCUUAUAUAUUGUACUGCUUUCGAGGGAGGAAAUAAGCAAUUCGUUGAGCCGUUGUCAUUCUUUGGGAACCAAAACUUAUUAGGAGAUAAAUCGAAUAGUAGAUAUUCGUCGCUUCUUUUAUGAAGCCUUGUUGUAUUUUACCUACUCACCACGUCUUGUGAUAAUCUCAUGUAAUAUCUACACAAAAUAACUAAGUUUUAGAUCGGGCAUGACAUCCUCAAGGAAUGAUUUUUUAAUAGACUACAGUGUUUAUUUAUGUGAGGAUUUGGCAUGCUUUUUUCAUCUUAAAAAAGGAAAUGUUAAAUUUCUAAGAAAAACCUCCUAACUUUAAGAAUUUAUCAAAUAACCCUCCAAUCUUGAGAAAUUUUUAUAGAGUAUUUCUUUUUCUUAAAUGAUCAUUCUACCCAUAUUGAUUGUCGCCUUUACCCUUGCAUUGUUAUUGCUGUGCUUGCCGGUGGCCUUCGCACAAGGAAGGAAGGGGUGCAAGAGUUGUCAUCUCCUUCCUGCACCACCUCCCCUCCCUUCUGCAUGCUGGACUUAUUGCUUACAGGCCUCACGCGAGGAAGGAGAAGGUACGAGGGCUAUUAUCACCUUUGCAGACCUCACUAACCCUACACUAACGCCUUGCUCACAACCCUCGCAUGAGAAAGGAGAGGACGUGAGGGCUGGGAUAGUAAUUCAAAUCCAAUCAAGGUCUAUUCCAAAUCAGUCACUAUUUGUAAUGCACUAAAUUUGUAAAACUAGGUUGAGGGGCAUUCUUGACAAAUAUUCCUUCAACGGCGAAUUGAAUUUUUAGGUUUGGACUAGUCGAUGAAGUGAAGUCAUAUCUUAGGAGUACAUGGGAGCCCUUUUUAUGAGUGAUACUAAGGAUGAUUAUUCCUAGAAUCACCGAUCGCAUAGGCCAGCCAUGUCAACCACGGGUUCAGAUGAUUGAUUAUCUGGUCAUGUAUCACCCCUUUAUGAGUAUAUGUCUUACGACCUGAUCAUCAUUUGUCUAUCGCGUGUGAUCCUCAUGCUCUUUGGCAAUCGAUCAGUUGGCUCAUUGGUCAUCGGCAAUGUUGUAUUUGACAUGUCACUUGUCACCUAUCACUUGCCCCCAACUUCUAGGUUGAUAGAUUGUAGGGCUAUCGAGUUAAGAAGUGCUCUAGCUUAUGCUUUUAACACUGAUAGUGGAUUUGUUCGUCAUCUUUUUGACAUAUGUCAUAGAAAUGCAUGUUCUGUCCGUUAAAGCUAUUCUAUCCAUUUAGUAUGUUUAACGCAUUCGGUUCAUUUAACCCGUUCUAUUCAUUAGUUGCUCUCCCUCUAACAUACAUUCCUUAAUAUAUCUUGGUUGCUCUCCCUCUAACAUAUCAGUAUAAAUUUUAGUUGUUUGAGUUGAGAUGAUAACUUAGAUCUAUCUGACGUUCAUUCCAAGUUAGUCUAACUCUAGAAAACCUACAAAUGCCCUAUCGUCGAUCAAGUCAGACUUGUCAGCCAAUACUAAAGUCAAGUCGGGUCCUGGAAGUGUACAUAAGAGUCUCUUUUAUUAGUAACUCUAAGAAUGGUUAUGUCUGGAAUCAUUGAUGGUAAGAGGGGAAUAUGUGCCACAUUCAAGCUGAGACUUGGCAUUCGUACAAGUAAAUGGUUGAUGUGAUCCGGGAGAGAGCAAGGCAUGUAAAUGAUUCAUAACAAGGGAACGUCUCUUACAAGUUCUCCAUUGACAGGUUCUUCCGACUUAGAAUUGGUCUAAUGUUUUCCGGCUUCUCCGUACCUCAGGAAAUGUUGGGUCUAGCCCAUACGUCAGCUUGGACUAGAUAAUUAAAUUUUUGAGCUCAAAUCAAUAAUUAAAAAAAAAAACUGCCUAUAGCGUUUUGACAAGCGAACGAUGGCGACGCACAGUCAAAUUAACAUAGAAAGAGAAAAGAGAAAAAAAAUAAGAUUUUGAGUUUUUCUUAGUUAACGAUCAGAGUCAAACUUGGAUCCAAAUUAUACAUGAAAAAUCUUUACAGUAGCCAGCUCUACAAUCCGCUGAUUUGUAGUUUACCCUUUAUGAGGUAUUUUCCAACUAUACUCAUUUUGUGAGACAAAAUUCUUUUUUUGAUGAGAUUCAUUCAUGUGAUGAUGAUAUACUAUUCUUGAGUCAAGAUAUGUGAUUUUGAUGUUAUUAUGGUUCUCUUGUUAUUUUAAAGAAGACUUAUUGUAAACCUAUAAUUAUUAUUAGUGAUAGUGGAAGCUUGAAGUGGACUACGAUCCCUAUUAUUAUUAUUAGUGAUAGUGGAAGCUUGAGGAGGACUACGGUACGUGGUUUUUUCCGCAUUAGGUUUUUCACGUUAAUAUUUGGUCUUACUUUGUGAUUGAUUCAUUGUUUUGUUAUUUAUGUUGUUCUGGUUUAUAUGUACUUUUGAUAUCAAGCUGGUUUUUGAUGAGAAACUUAUUUUAAUAGACAAAAAGAAAAAAAAUUAUUUUAUUUUAAUAGGUUUUUCCCAACAAGAAAUUGAGUGAAGAACUCUAUUUAACCGACUUCAAGUCGGCACGACCCUCUUCGCAUCCAAUGUUAGUGUAGCGCUAUGACCUAGGAAGAAGAAGAGGGAACAAGCUGAUGCGGUACAUCAAGGCCUCUCAUCGAGCACUGCUACGUGCCCGGGACUUGUACGUGAACAGCAUGGCUGGAUGCGCCAGAAGGGCCCAGGGCGAGCCGACGAUCAUCGCGAUGCCGCACGCCCAGAGCCACAUAUAUACACACACAAACGCGCACACACAAUAAAAGUAAUAUAAUUAUUGAUGCCCAUGCAAAAAGAUUUUAUAUCAUUUUUAUUUAAUUCGCUCACGUGGAUCAAUCGAGUUGUCCAUGUGUUAUUAUCCAUUAACUUGCUUUUAUCUAUUAUAUAAUAACGAUUGGAUCAUGAGCUGGCUUUCUCAUCUGCGUGCCAAUCCAAACGCUUCUAUACUGUGCCAUCGACGACUUCAAUAUCUUUGAUUUGCUCACAUCUCAAAGCCAAAAAAAAGGAAAAAUGAUGAGUACCUACAGUAUAUGACAAUUAGUUAGACCGAUUCUUCUAAAUUUUCUGAUCCCAUCGUGAGGCGUGCAUGACCAGCGUACUUUCCCCACUGUAUUUUACUCGACCAUCACUAACCUCACCGCUAUUAUAGAAAUAGUAUGUCAACACGAUCUUGGCUGUCAUCANNNNNNNNNNNNNNNNNNNNUUUUCUUACAAUAAUAAUAAUGAUAAGAACCUUGCGUCCCAAGUUGGCUCACGUGAUUGAAAUAAAUGACUCGAAUUGGGAACAAUACCCAUAUGCAGAUUCAUUGGGAUGGCAGAAUCUCUUGUUAAGUCAACGGGCUUUACCUCCCUUAUUUUAUAUGAAUUUUUUUCUGACACCUAAUAAUUUUGUAAACAGUGAUCAAGAUAUCGAAUUCACAUUCUCCUAUAUACACAUUACAUACCCAUAUGCAGACCAACUCUGGACAGUCAUCAUGGCCGCCACCUACUUUGCCCUAUUCGCCUCCGGCCUCGCCGUCUUGCUUCUACUAGUCCAAGGAUCGCCGCCAGGGCCCGUUGUCCAGUGCCGGUCCGGCAACACUAACUGCACCGUGACCAACGGCUAUGGAGCCUUUCCUGAUCGCAGCACCUGCUGCGUCGCCGCGGUCGCGUACCCUUCCACCGAACUGGAGCUCCUGUUAGCUGUCUCCGACGCCACCGAGAAGCAGCAGCACAUGAAGGCUGUCACGAUGUACUCCCACAGCAUCCCCAAGCUGUCGUGCCCCGGAGGGCCGAGCGGCCAGGGCCUGGUCAUUAGCACCCAGCGCCUCAACCGAUCGGUGAGCGUGGACAUGGCCACCUCGCGGAUGACGUUCGAAGCAGGGAUCACACUUAGGGAGCUCCUUGACGCGGCGGCCGCCCGUGGCCUGGCGCUACCCCACUCGCCGUACUGGCAAGGGAUGACGCUCGGCGGCCUGCUGAGCACCGGCUCCCAUGGGAGCUCGGUGUUCGGGAAGGGCUCGGCGGUGCACGAAUAUGUGGUAGGGAUGAGGCUGGUGGUUCCAAGUCCGGCCCCGGUGAACGGAUACUACGCCAAGAUCGUUAAUCUUGGUGAGGAUGAUCCUGAUCUCUUGGCUGCCAAGGUUUCUCUCGGUGUUCUUGGAGUCAUUUCUCAGGUAUGUGUGUGGUGACCUACGUGUUAUUCUUUGUUCUUUACACGGAUUGAGAUCCAUGUGAUAACUCAUCUUAGUUCUUCAUGGUGGUUCUUCCAACCACGUCAAGUACUUUCAUAAGCUGAGUGUACAAGAUUUGCCACGUUUCGAUGCUAAUUAGGUGCAACUAUAUCUUUAAUUCUUCAUGAUAUAAUAGAGAUCAUCCUACUGUUAUUAGCAACGCUGAAUACAUCCUAUCGUCAGUAAAAUGUCGAGACAGAAAAAAAAAACUUGAUUUCUAUCAAAUCACUUUACAAAGGAAGACUUGUUCUUUUCCUUGAAUCUAGAAAGUUACGUAAAUAAUAGGCUUUUGAUGAUCGCAGUGGACUUUACUUUUAAUCUUUCCUUCUUUUCUUGCUUUGCUUGUCUUCCUUGUUUCAAAAUGGGCUGAUGCAAACCUUUGAACCGUUCUAAUGAUUCCAUGUACCUUCCCUCGUCGUUUAUCGUAACUACACAACAUACUUGAGUGUUAUGGAACAUAUGAGCACAUGCAAACCCACAGAGACAAAGAUCAGAGAAAAAGCAACCAUUGCAAUAACAGCUACAGUGACGUUGAUGAUGACUCGGUGUAAAUGAGAGUGCCCCUUCCUUCACAUAUGGAGCCUCGAGCAGGGCAAGAGGCAGGCAGGUCCAUGCUGCCUUGCCUUGCAGAGCUUACGACCGGGCCCACUAAUUGCCUUAAAAGCCUCAGUAACAAUUAUUAGGUUGAAGGACGAUAGGGGAUGUCAGUAGUUGUAGUUCUUGUUUCAAUCUUUUUGCCUGAAUAGCUGAAAAGAGUUGACUAGCGAUACAUGUAAGCUUUUGUUCUUCUGCUUCAUUAUAAGUAACCUAAGAAUUACUUGAACCGAUCGAGCAGGUCACCCUCCAACUUGAGCCAAUGUUCAAGCGAUCCAUCACCAACAGGGUCGUAAGCGACGUUGGCUUCGAGCAAACCAUCUCCUCGUACGCUGUCACUACAUACUAUGGAGACAUCAGCUGGUAUCCGUCACAACGCAGAGUGGUGUACCGAGAUGAUAUCAAGGUCCCCAUCACCACCGAAGGAAAGGGUGUAAACGACUACUUAGGGUUCCGAGCGCAGCCCACCCACGUCGGAGCCUCUCUACGUGCUUCAGGUCUUAUAAAUUGCAGCUUUUAUUUUGCUUGUCAAACUUAAUGUAGUGUUCGAGCAGUAUUAUGCACACAUUUACAUCGACAUUUCGUCCGAGAUUUGUACUAAGAAGGCUUCUUUUGUCCUCUACCAUGUGUUUGUGUCUGUGAAUGCAGAGGAACGAGUGGAGGCAACGGGAAAUGCGGAAGGCAAAUGUGUGCUGUUCAGAUUGCAAGUUGAUACUUUGAUUGCGACCGGCAUGGGCCUUAAGAACAAUGACGGCGGCUUGUUAGAAUUCACCGGCUAUCCGGUCGUUGGAAACCAAAGCGACAUGCAAUCCUCCGGUAGGUCCUCCAAUUAUCCGAAGAAUGUAUAUGAUGACACAUGUUACACCUGUAUUAUAUAUUAUAUGGUCUGAGCCAAAUUCACUCCUGUAUUCUGUAUUAGUCUGAACCAUCUUCUCUCCAGGUUCGUGCCUAAGAAGUGCAGAAGACAACCUUCUCACGGCCUGUGGAUGGGACCCUCGCUUUGCUGGGUCCUUCUACCACGAAACCGCGAUAAGUAUCCCCUUCACCACCGUUGCAGACUUCAUCGCCGACGUCAAGAAGCUCCGCGACGCCCACCCCAACUCGCUCUGCGGCACCGAGCUGUCCUUGGGCUUCUUCAUUCGCUUCCUCCGCAACUCCACGGCCUAUCUUGGCAAAACGGACGACGUGGUGGAGAUCGACAUCACAUACUACCGUUCCAGGGAUCCAAAACGGCCGCGACUCUAUGAGGAUGUGCUCGAGGAGAUCGAACAGAUGGCCUUGUUCAAGUACAAUGGGCUGCCGCACUGGGGGAAGAACAGAAAUGUCGGCUUCCUCAAUGUCAAGAACAAGCUGGGGGCUAAGUUGGCCAAGUUUGUGAGUGUGAUGCAGAAGUAUGACAGCAAUGGAUUGUUCUCUUCAGACUGGACCGAUGCGGUGCUGGGACUGCGAGGGAAGGAAGUUGUGGUGCAGGGAGAUGGAUGUGCACUGGAGGGGCUGUGCAUUUGCUCCACUGACGACCACUGCGCUCCUAAACUAGGCUAUUUUUGUCGACCUGGAGAAGUCUAUGAACAGGCUCGAGUUUGCCGGAAGAUAAAAUCCGUGGAAGCUGAUGGUUUGGCAUGGAGCGCAUGAUACCAUUCACAUUCAUUUGCUGUGCGGUUUAUUUCUGUGUCACUUCCUCUUCGAAUAAAGGUUGUAAUGUCAGUCAAUAAUUACUACAUAGUUUAAUGAUGAUUAAUGAUAAUAACCUGCGACACACGUAAAUGUUCUGAUUAAUUUUACAUAAAUUACACUUGACCCACGUUUCGUGACACAAAUGACAUGGUAGUUCACACCGAAACUACUGCUCUCUAUAAAUUACUCAACGGCGCAGCAUCCAAUCUUCUGUUUGUUCCUUUCUCAUCCUCGCAGUAUAAUUUGGAGAUAGGAAGUGGUCGCACCAUGAGCGAGGGAAACAGCAGCGAGAGCAAGCUGACCCCGUACAUCAGGCCCCCGACCGGGCCGCUGUGGCAUGCCCGGGACUUGUACGAGAGCAGCAAGGCGCAGAGUGGCACCGUCAUCGCGCUGUCUCGCGCCUAUGGCUUUGGGCAGUGCUCGCGGACGAGCAGCAGCGAGGAAGAGAUCAACGACCUCAUCGGCGCCGCUUGCAAGAGCAUGAUGCGGGCCAUCCUGGUGAAGGAGGAUGGGCUGGUGCCAAGGAGCCACCGAGUGGCGACGUUGAGGAUAGACGAUGACAAGCCGUGUGACUUCGAGGACGACCAAGAGGAACGAUGCCAAGGAGCUGUAGCUACGAUGUUGCCACCAAGAGGAACGUGGGCUUCUAAUAAGCUUCAAGUUAGAUUGUGCGGUGAUCAACACGAACAGUAAACAUCCGAGCUUAUAUAUUGUACUGCUUUCGAGGGAGGAAAUAAGCAUUUCGUUGAGCCGUUGUCAUUCUUUUGGAACCAAAACUUAUUAGGAGAGAAAUCGAAUAGUGAAUACAGAAGAAGAUAUUCUUCACUUCUUUUGUGAAGCUUUGUUGUAUUUUACCUACUCACCAUGUAUUUUACACAAAAUAACUAGUUUUAGAUCGGGCAUGACAUCCUGAAGGAAUGAUUGUUUAAUAGACUACAAUGUUUAUUUAUGCGAGGAUUUGGCAUGCUUUUCUCAUCUUAAAAAAAGGAAAUGUUAAAUUUCUAAAAAAAGACCUCCUAACUUUAAAUUAUCAAAUAACGCUCUGAGAAAUUUUUUUAGAGUAUUUUUUUCUUAAACAAUCAUUCUAUCCAUUGUCAACUCUAUCCAUGCAUUGUUAUUAUUGUAUUUACAUGUGGCCCUCGCAUAAGGAAGGAAGGGGUGCAAGAGUUGUCACCUCCUUCCUGCACCACCUCUCCUCCUCUUGUCAUGCUGGAUUUGUUACUUAUAGGCCUCACUCGAGGAAAGAGAGGGUACGAGAGCCAUUGCCACUUAUGCGGACCCCACCAACUCUAUCCUAGCGCCUCGAUCACAACUUUCAUAUGAGAAAGGAGGGGACGUGAGGGCCGUCAUCGUUUCUGUGGACCUUACUAGCCCUAGGACCUUGCUAGACUCUAUUGGACUUGUUGCCCGUAGCCCUUACACAAGGAAAGAAGGGUUGUGAGGGUCGACGCCACCACCAUCUUCACAGACCACUACGACCCUGCUUAUAUGCACUUCACUCGUAACCCUUGUGCAAGGAAGAAGGUGGCACAUGUGCUAUCGUUGCCUUUGUGGAACCUAUUAGUCUCCGUCAAACCUGUUGUCACUCUGCACCACCCCCCCUUUCCUCGCACGAGGGCCAUAGUGUGCAAGGGUUGUGAGUGACAGAUUAUAUGAAGUAGAGGAGAGGAUAGGUAGUGCAUGGAGUAAGGGCACAAGUGAUUAUAGAGGGAGGAGGAGAUAACUAUAGGUCUAAUAGAAAUAGAGAUAAAAUAAUAUUUUUAUAUAAUCAAGAUACUCUAUGAAUUUCUUAAAGUUAAAAGGCUCUGUAAAAAAUUCAUAAUGUUAAAUCUAAAAAAAAAAUAAGGAUUUGACGUGCGUCCGACAAGCCUCCUUCCUGGAGAGGAUCAACACACAGCUAGUUAGUAGGGGAUUCAGUAACUUUCCUUUUUUUUUCCCUUUAAAAAUAUGAAGUUUCAUAACUUAUCAAAAAGAGGUCCAAAUUGUACAUUUAUACCAAUAAAUUUGAAUACUACAAGUUUUUCUCUUGCAACUAAUACACACACAUAUACUACAGUUUUGCCCCAUACAAAUCGAAUAACAAUGAGUAUAGUUUUGACCCUUCCAUGUAUAGAAAUUAAAUAAAAAUUAGUUUGAUUCAAUUCAAAGAGUUAAGUUUCUAUAUUGUGGACCAAAUUAAGUAUAUAUAAUCAGACUCUUUUAAUUCUUAAUUAUACUAGAUUAUCCUCUUAGUUUAUUUUAUUUCAAUUUAGACAUGAAUAUUUUCAUUACAAUGUGAAUAAUAAAAAUAUCUUAAAAGUGAAGUCAUAUUUGGUUCUUUAUUAGACCUUACUUUUCAACUUUUGUAACGAUCCAACCAAUGACCUCAUUAUUGGCCAUGAAUGAAAUCUUGAAUUCUAAUUUUUAAGUAAAAUGUAACUUAUGAUAUUUUAGAUUAAUACAAGUUAACAAUUAUUAACUAUCAUUAGUUAUGAUUGAUUAAAAAUUGAAAUGUAGUAAUAGAAUAUGAUAUUACAAAAUGUUCACAUCAUAUUUCUUUCUUAAAAAAUAAUCUUGUUUAUACCAAACUCGAAUUCAAAAUCUCAUCUGAUAUAUUUUGAAGAUAUCAUCUAAUUUAGUUGGUGUUAGUGUAGAUUUUGAUUAUAUGAGCUAGGAUAAUUCUUCAAAUUGAAUCAAAGUCUAUUCCAAACCAAUCUCACUUCACAUCACUAUUAAUAAAGCACCAAACUUGUAAAACUAGGUCAAGAGGUAUUCUUGACAAAUAUUCCUUCAAUAAUCAAUUGAAUUCUUAGGUUUGGACUGGCUGAUGAAUAUUGAAGUGAAAUCAUAUCUUAAGAGUACAUGAGAGUCCUUUUUAUGGGUGAUACUAAGGAUGAUUAUUCCUAGAAUCACCGAUCACUUAGGCUAGUCGAUCACGAGUUCAAAUUAUCUAUCAUUUGGCCACAUAUCACCCCUUUAUGAGUAUAUAUCUUACUACCUGACCAUCAUCUGUCAAACGCGUGUGAUCCCCAUGCUCUUUGAUAAUCGACCCAUUGGCUUCUUGGCCACGUGUCGCAUUGUGGCAAUGUUGUAUUUGACAUGUCACUUGUCACCUAUCACUAGCCCCCCAUUUCUAAGUUGAUAGAUUAUAGGGCUAUAGAGCUAAGAAGUGCUCUGGCCUAUGAUUUUUACACUGAUAGCGAGUUUGUUCAUCAUCGUUUUGACAUAUGUCAUUGGAAUGCAUGUUGUGUCCAUUAAAGCUAUUCUAUCCAUUCAGUGUGUUUGACGCAUUCAGUCCAUUUGACCCAUUCCGUUGGUUAGGGUCGUUCAGCUCGUUCAAUCAAUUUGACAUGUUAGGCUUUUUAGGAUUUAACCUAGAUGGUACCACGAAGUUUUCUUAAGAUAUCUUAGUUGCCCUCUCUCUAACGCUAAUAUAUUAGUAUAAAUUUUAAUUGUCUGAAUUGAGAUGAUAACUUAGAUCCAACUGAGAUUCAUUGCAAGUUAGUCUUACUCUAGGAAACCUACAAAUGCCCCAUCGUAGAUCAAGUCAGACUUGUUGGCCAAUAAUAAAGUCAAGUUGGAUCCUCGAAGUGUACCUAGAGUCCCUUUUAUUAGUAACUCUGAGAAUGAUUAUGUCCGGAAUCAUUGAUGGUAAGAGAGGAAUAUGUGCCACAUUCAGACUGAGACUUGGCAUGAUAUUCAUCGAACCUUGUGUUCACAUAGGUUGGUUGUGCUAAUCAUGGGUUUGGACGAUCGACUAUUCAUCCACGUAUUAUCUCAUGCUGAGUGUGCAUCUCAUGAUUCCAUCAUCACCUAUCUAUCACAUAUGAUCCUCAUGCUCUUUGGUUGUCAACCUUGUGGCCAUGUGUCACUACACGGUGAUGUUAUAUUCGAUAUAUUACUCUUUAUGCUGAAAAAAAAUUUGAUAGUUGAUCACUAGACUCAAAAUUCUACAUUCGUUAGUGGUGCGUUGGCCAUGUCUCGCCGCAUGAUAGUGUUAUAUUCAAUGUCACACCCUUCACCUGUCAGAUAAAGACUUUAAUAGUUCCUCCCAAAAUUUUAGACUUAAAUUCCACAUUAAUCACUUAUUCUCAAAAAAAAAAUCUGGUUAAGAUCGCAACCACUGCUUCGGUUACAAUUAUCCCUUCUAUUUUUAUAACAGAACAAAUAGGGUAAACAGUGUGCGAGUCGAUCAGUCGGUGGACUGCCUUCAUUCCACCGACUUACACCAUCAUGAGAUCCUCUUAAUUUUCAAAUUAUAAUAAUUAUAAUUUAAAAAAUAUGAAUAACAUUAAAUAAAAAUAAACAAAAAAAUCAGCCAUAACGCGUAAAGGUCAAAGUCAAAGUACCCAUGACCCAUGGACUGGGACACGUGGAGGCAAGAAAGCAUCACAACAGACUCGAGAACGAGCCCACUCGAUUGGACCAUUCAGGGCGGGAUUAAUUGAAAGAAACAACGAGCGAGACAGUCAGCAGGUCCACUAAACUGGAAGCAUUCUUCAUGCUUUGAAAUCAAAACAUGAGUCUAACAUGAUCAACCAAAUUGGACUCAACACUUGUGAUCGAGAAGAAUAGGGUGCCGCCAUGUUCGUACAAGUAAAUGGUUGAUGUGAUCCGGGAGAGAGCAAGGCAUAUAAAUGCUUCAUAACAAGGGAACGUCUCUUACAAGUUCUCCAUUGACAGGUUCUCUUCCUGCUUAGAAUUGGUCCAAUGUUUUCCGGCUUCCACAUACCUCAGGAAAUUGAGUAAAGAACUCUAUUUAAGCGACUUCAAGUCGGCACGACUCUCUUCGCAUCCAAUGUUAAUGUAGCGCUAUGAGCAAGGGAAGCAGAAGAGGGAACAAGCUGAUGCGGUACAUCAAGGCCCCUUAUCGAGCACUGCUUCGUGCCCGGGACUUGUACGUGAACAGCAUGGCCGGAUGCGCCGGCAGGGCCCAGCGCGGGCCGACGAUCAUCGCGAUGCCACGCGCCCAGAGCCGCAGCUUCCACCGCCCGCAAAUGAGCAGCGGCGAGGACGACAUCAACGAGCUCAUCCGCGCUGCGUCGAGGAGCAGGCUGCGGUCCGUCGAGGGAGCGGCGGUUCCGAGGAGUCACAGCGUGGCGGGGAUGACGAUUGACGAGGACAAGCCAUGCAACUUUGAGGGCGACGUCAAGGUGGCCUUGGGCCCGAGGAGCCGGAGCUGCGACGUCGUCUCCAAGAGGAGGGCGGGGUUUACAACAAACGCCGUAAGCAGCAUCCGAAGCUUCUAAUACCAAGAGUGGAAGCACCAAAUGCAGCAAUUCCAUGUCGUUGUGGUUUCUAUUACUCGUGUUCGUGAACUCGAUUCGAUACUUUCUCUCCUCUUCUUCUCCUGUCAUGUUUCUGUUCACUCGUGAAUGUUUGGGCUGCCUGCUUACCUCAUUCCAUCUACACGAACGGAAUGUUCAUAUGGCAUCUCGGUAUCAUUUCCCUCAAAAUUUGAGCCUACAUUUGAAGCAUUUUCAUUAUAUAUAUAUAUAUAUAUAUAUAUAUAUAUAUAUAUAUAUAUAUAUAUAUAUAUAUANNNNNNNNNNNNNNNNNNNNNNNNNNNNNNNNNNNNNNNNNNNNNNNNNNNNNNNNNNNNNNNNNNNNNNNNNNNNNNNNNNNNNNNNNNNNNNNNNNNNNNNNNNNNNNNNNNNNNNNNNNNNNNNNNNNNNNNNNNNNNNNNNNNNNNNNNNNNNNNNNNNNNNNNNNNNNNNNNNNNNNNNNNNNNNNNNNNNNNNNNNNNNNNNNNNNNNNNNNNNNNNNNNNNNNNNNNNNNNNNNNNNNNNNNNNNNNNNNNNNNNNNNNNNNNNNNNNNNNNNNNNNNNNNNNNNNNNNNNNNNNNNNNNNNNNNNNNNNNNNNNNNNNNNNNNNNNNNNNNNNNNNNNNNNNNNNNNNNNNNNNNNNNNNNNNNNNNNNNNNNNNNNNNNNNNNNNNNNNNNNNNNNNNNNNNNNNNNNNNNNNNNNNNNNNNNNNNNNNNNNNNNNNNNNNNNNNNNNNNNNNNNNNNNNNNNNNNNNNNNNNNNNNNNNNNNNNNNNNNNNNNNNNNNNNNNNNNNNNNNNNNNNNNNNNNNNNNNNNNNNNNNNNNNNNNNNNNNNNNNNNNNNNNNNNNNNNNNNNNNNUUUCCUUACAAUAAUAAUAAUGAUAAGAACCUUGCGUCCCAAGUAGGCUCACGUGAUUGACAUAAAUGACUCAAAUUGGGAACGGAUGAAAACUCCUCCUAUUGCAUGUUCAUGAAUCAGAUAUGGAUGAUAUGGCACCACUUUUCCAUUGCCGUCCCACGCACAUCAUCCACGGUUUCCACAGAGACUGGUAGAAGUAAAAUUGCCAACUCAUCUACCUCCCUCUAUCAAUAUAUAUUAUCUAAUCACGUUCUUGCAUCACGUGUUCUGCGACCAUCAACCGGAGACUUUGACAAUUAUGAACCAUUCCAACACGUCUAAAUACACGUAAGAUUCAUCGGGAUGGCAUAAUCUCUUGUUAAGUCAACGGGCUUUACCUCCCUUCUUUUAUAUGAAUUUUUUUCUGACUACUAAUUAUUAUGUAAAUAGUGAUCAAGAUAUCGAAUGCACCUAUAUAUACAUUACAUACCCAUACCCAGACCAACUCUGAACAGCCAUCAUGGCCGCCACCCACAUUGCCCUGUUCGCAUCCGGCCUCGCCGUCUUGCUUCUCCUAGUCCAAGGAUCGCCGCCAGGGCCCGUUGUCCGGUGCCGGUCCGGCAACACUAACUGCACCGUGACCAACGGCUAUGGAGCCUUUCCUGAUCGCAGCACCUGCCGCGUCGCCGCGGUCGCGUACCCUUCGACCGAACAGGAGCUCCUGUUAGCUGUCUCCGACGCCACCGAGAAGCAGCAGCACAUGAAGGCUGUCACGAUGUACUCCCACAGCAUCCCCAAGCUGUCGUGCCCCGGCGGGCCGAGCGGCCAGGGCCUGGUCAUUAGCACCCAGCUCCUCAACAGAUCGGUGAGCGUGGACAUGGCCACCUCGCGGAUGACGUUCGAGGCAGGGAUCACACUUAGGGCGCUCCUUGACGCGGCGGCCGCCCGUGGCCUGGCGCUACCCCACUCGCCGUACUGGCAAGGGAUCACGCUCGGCGGGCUGCUGAGCACCGGUUCGCAUGGGAGCUCGGUGUUCGGGAAGGGCUCGGCGGUGCACGAAUAUGUGGUAGGGAUGAGGCUGGUGGUUCCAAGUCCGGUACCGGUGAACGGGUACUACGCCAAGAUCGUUAAUCUUGGUGAGGAUAAUCCUGAUCUCUUGGCUGCCAAGGUUUCUCUCGGUGUUCUUGGAGUCAUUUCUCAGGUAUGUGUGUGGUGACCUACGUGUUGUUCUUUGUUCUUUACACGGUUUGAGAUCCAUGUGAUAACUCAUCUUAGUUCUUCAUGGUGGUUCUUCCAACCACGUCAAGUGCUUUCAUAAGCUGAGUACAUGACUCGCCACGUCUCGAUGCUAAUUAGGUGCAACUAUAUCUUUAAUUCUUCAUGAUAUAAUAGAGAUCAUCCUACUGUUAUUAGCAACGCUGAAUACAUCCUAUCGUCAGCAAAAUGUCGAGACAGAAAAAAAGAACUUGUUUUCUAUCAAAUCACUUUACAAAGGAAGACUUGUUCUUUUCCUCGAAUCUAGAAAGUUACGUAAAUAAUAGGCUGUUGAUGAUCCCAGUGGACUUUACUUUUAAUCUUUCCUUCUUUUCUUGCUUUGCUUGUCUUCCUUGUUUCAAAAAGGGCUGAUGCAAACCGUUGAACCGUUCUAAUGAUUCCAUGUACCUUCCCUCGUCGUUUAUCGUAACUACACAACAUAAUUGAGUGUUAUGGAACAUAUGAGCACAUGCAAACCCACAUAGACAAAGAUCAGAGAAAAAGCAAACUUUGCAAUAACAGCUACAGUGACGUUGAUGAUGACUCGGGGUAAAUGAGAGUGCCCCUUCCUUCACAUAUGGAGCCUCGCGCAAGGCAAGAGGCAGGCAGGUCCAUGCUGCCUUGCCUUGCAGAGCUUACGACCGGGCCCGCUAAUUGCCUUAAAAGCCUCAGUAACAAUUAUUAGGUUGAAGGACGAUAGGGGAUGUCAGUAGUAGUAGUUCUUGUUUCAGUCUUAUUGCCUGAAUAGCUGAAAAGAGUUGACUUGCAAUACAUGUAAGCUUUUGUUCUUCUGCUUCAUUAUAAGUAACCUAAGAAUUACUUGAACCGAUCGCGCAGGUCACCCUCCAACUUGAGCCAAUGUUCAAGCGAUCCAUCACCAACAGGGUCGUAAGCGACGUUGGCUUCGAGCAAACCAUCUCCUCGUACGCUGCCGCUACAUACUAUGGGGACAUCAGCUGGUAUCCGUCACAACGCAGAGUGGUGUACCGAGAUGAUAUCAAGGUCCCCAUCACCACCAAAGGAAAGGGUGUCAACGACUACUUAGGGUUCCGAGCUCAGCCCACCCUUGUCGUAGCCUCUCUACGUGCUUCAGGUCUUAUAAAUUGCAGUUUUUAUUUUGCUUGUCAAUCUUGAUGUAGUGUUCGAGAAGUAUUGUGAACACAUUUACAUCGACAUUUCGUCCGAGAUUUAUACUAAGAAGGCAUCUUUUGUCCUCUACCAUGUGUUUGUGUCAAUGACUGCAGAGGAACUAUUGGAAGCAACGGGAAAUGCGGAAGGCAAAUGUGUGCUGUUCAGAUUGCAAGUAGAUACUUUGAUUGCGAUCGGCAUGGGCUUUAAGAACAAUGACGGCGGCUUGUUAGAAUUCACUGGCUAUCCGGUCAUUGGAAACCAAAGCGACAUGCAAUCCGCUGGUAGGUUCUCAAAUUAUCCGAGGAAUGUCUGCAUGUAUGAAUGAUAACUCUUGACGAUAAUGCUUCAUCACAAUAAUGACACAUGUAAUGCCCGGAUUUAUUUAGUUUGAGUCAUCUUCUCUCCAGGUUCAUGCCUAAGGAGUGCAGAAGACAACCUUCUUACAGCCUGUGGCUGGGACCCUCGUUUUGCGGGGCUCUUCUACCACCAAACCACGAUAAGCAUCCCCUUCACCACCAUCGCUGGCUUCAUCGCCGACGUCAAGAAGCUCCGCGACGCCCAUCCCGACGCACUCUGCAGCACCGAGCUGUACUUGGGCUUCUUCAUGCGCUUCGUCCGCAACUCCACAGCUUAUCUUGGCAAAACCGACGACGUGGUGGACAUCGACAUCACAUACUAUCGUUCCAAGGAUCCAAAAAAGCCGCGACUCUACGAGGAUGUGCUCGAGGAGAUCGAACAGAUGGCCUUGUUCAAGUACAAUGCGCUGCCGCACUGGGGGAAGAAUAGAAAUGUCGGCUUCCUCAAUGUCAAGAACAAGCUGGGGGCUAAGUUGGACAAGUUUGUGAGUGUGAUGCAGAAGUAUGACAGCAAUGGAUUGUUCUCUUCAGACUGGACCGAUGCGGUACUGGGACUGCGAGGGAAGGAAGUUGUGGUGCAGGGUGAUGGUUGUGCACUGGAGGGGCUGUGCAUUUGCUCCACUGAUGACCACUGCGCUCCUAAACAAGGCUAUUAUUGUCGACCUGGAGAAGUCUACGAACAGGCUCGAGUGUGCAGGAAGAUUAAAUCCGUGGAAGCUGAUGGUUAGGUUUAUUUCUGUGUCGCUUCCUCUUCGAAUAAAGGAUGUAAUGUCAGUCAAUAAUUACUACAUAGUUUAUUAUUGUAAUAUUAAAGCAAGCGUCGAUAAAUGCAAUAUUGUAUGGGAGGCAGAUUGCAUUCCUCCUGAUUUAUCUGUGCAACUCCAAGAUGACUUAUGCAAGUCAUUCUAUAGAACUAUAAUGUGUUAAUAAAUUUCUUUUGGGCAAAAAAAUUAGGACAUAAUUUCUCAUUGUUUUUAAUUGCAAGAUCCCAUUGUGAAGGAAAGGAACACUCUCCAGUAUCCGUUGCAUGAAAGGGACGAGGAAGCAAGAAAUAACAGUGCCAUUAUUAAUGCCAUCGUGUGGAGAGACGUAGUAUGUUAACGCGAUAUUCUUCGCUAUCAUUCCUUAAAAUAAGAAUGAUGAUUAAUGAUAAUAACCUGCGACUCACGUAAACGUUCUGAUUAAUUUUACAUUAAUCACACUUGAACCACGUUUCGUGACACAAAUGACAUGGUAGUUCACACCGGUUGCAUUUCAAAUUUUUGACUCAAAGCUCGUCCUAUGGAUCGCGAGAAUAAACCAUAUGGUAAGAAGCUACGUAAAUAUGGAAAUCACAAAGAAUGGUGAUUACUGUAAUUAAGCCUUCCUCGAUCCCCCCCAACCCCAAGAAACUACUGCUCUCUCUAAAUAACUCUACGGCGCAGCAUCCAAUCUCCUUUUUGUUCCUUUCUCAUCCUCGUAAUAUAAUUUAGAGAUAGGAAGUGGUCGCGCCAUGAGCAAGGGAAACAGCAGCGAGAGCAAGCUGAGCCAGUGCAUCAAGGCCCCCGACCUGGCUCUGCGACAUACCCGGGACUUGUGCGAGAGCAGCAUGGCCGGGACUGAUAAUAUAUGUAUACACGAUAAUCUCAUGUAAGCUCGUUCAUCUACACCAAAUACUAGUUUUAGAUCGGGCAUGACAUCCUGAAGGAAUGAUUGUUUAAUUGACGACAGUGUUUAUUUACGUGUGGAUUUGACGUGCUUGUUUCCAUCUUUAAAAAGGAAAAUUCAAAUUCUUUUAAAAAAAAACUGUCAACUUAAUUUUUCAAAUAGCUCUUCAAAAAAUUCUCAUUGAGUAUUUUUUUUUUUCAAAAAGACUAUUCUAUAUCAAUCGGUCAUCGCCUCCGCCUCGUAUCACUUCUGAACACGUAUCAGAGUAUUUUUUUCAAAAAGUUUCUUCUAAGCGUGAGACAAUGUAUCACUUCUGAACACGUAUCAGAGUAAAUCCAGGCCAUUGCAGUUUGCAACUUCUUCUUUCUUUUCCUGAUCCAAUUCUUACAGUUGUUGGUGAUCAUCCGCAAUUUCUUCCCAGUAUAUGUUCCCCUUGUAGCUCAAGCAAUAUCCGAAGGUAACUUUAGCUAUAAAUUUCGUUUGGUUUGGAAGUUCAAGAAAAAAUAGUCACUCUUAUGUCCAAAGUUAUUGACAGAAAUGAGGUGGUCUCAUUAACUAUGCUUUGAUACUAUGGACUACGGUCAAGAAUUUGAAGCUGUCUGGCAACAUUUACAAGUGAGAAUGGAACGGAUAAAUGAAAUCAAAAGUACCCAUUUGGACUGCACAAGAAAAACCUUUAUGACUGACGUUUUGAACUGUUCAUAUGAGGUAGUCACUGUUAACUCACAUCCACGUUCAAGAAAAGGAUGUGCUACAGUCUCCUAGCGGUGGCAAUUCCAUGAUUGUCCACCGAGGAUGCUUAUUAUUCUUAUUCGCAAGCAGUUCGUCUGAGAAAUUAACUCAGAAGCCUCGUAUUGUGCUUCUGCUCAACCAAAGAAAGAGAUCAGAAGUGGAGAUAGAAGAUCCAUGGAGCAGGACGAUCCCAAUUACCUCUUCCAGGCCUAAAUUGUAGAGUAAGUUGAUCUCUGUCAUAACCAAGUCUUGGCAGCGAUCUCCAAAGAGUUCCAUGCAUCUCGGCCAUGUAGUCGGCAACGAAGCGACGUGAUGGCAUUGAAUUCAGUGUACUCUCUGUGCAGUCACCUUACUCGGCAUCCAUGCAACCGUUCUUCCUUUAUUUUCAAAGAUAAUGAUUACUGAUUUCUUCGAGGGGAAGUGCUUCUAAAUGUGCUCGUGCAAUUGAUUCUCUUCUCAAUCGAUCUUGAUGUGCCAUGCGAUCAAACUCACAUUACGGUGUUCGUGAACAGACGUUGAAGAUCAUGGAAGGAGUAUUUUGUUUGCUGUGAUUGUGUGGAGAGAAACACACGAGGCAAGGGAAGUCCCUGUGUAGUCGGAGAAGGCAACGGAUGGCUUGGCUUUUUCUUCCCUGUAAAGGUGGAAGACGAGAUGGCCAGAUGAUCUAAUAUUAUAUUGCAGUGUUGCGUCUGUCCGUGGUUGUAGGAGUGUCCUACAAAAACAAUAACAGCUUGUUACUAAGACAUGUUCUAUAAACAAUCAAAACAAUUAAAUAUUACACGCAUUAUAUUAAGACCAGCAGAAAAUGUCUUACGUGAUUAAGUAAUUUAGUAUCUGAUAUGGGACUGACAUAUAAAUCAAAUUCUUUUAAAGUAGAAGAAUCUGAAAUAUUUUUUCUUUGUUUUUCUCAAAUAACCUAUUCAAUCUUAUUUCAUAUGCGAACCCAUUAGUUCAUCAAAUAAAAAUAUAGAUAAAUCUUUUGACUCUUAUAACAAUAUGAUCAAAUUUCGGAGUUAAACUUUUCAAAACUUUUAUAACAAUUAUAUGAUAAGGAAGAUGUACACCAUAAAAUUUUAUUUAACUAACAAUAUCAAUCACUUGUGAAAGAAAAUCUUACAUCGAUUCAUUAUUUUUCAUGAAUAAAUUUUAAAUUCACCACGAAGGGUUUAAAGUUUUACUGUAAUCACCCUUGUUGAGCCUUGAAAUUCAUUUUGAAGUAUCAAUCAAACUUGCUUUAAGGUUAUUGCUAUUGUAAUUCUUGAGAAAAUUAUUUCAUGUAUAGCUUGUUGAAUGAACAACAAUGCCUUUGAGUUCUUAUUUCUAUUCUUCCUCAGCCUGAUUUUUUUAUGUAGACCUACAUAUCCAUUCUCUAUUAAGUCCCAAAGAUCUUGAGACUUGAAUAAAAUAUUUAUCUUGAUACUCUAAAAUUCAUAGCAUUUGUCCGAGAAGAUGGAAAUAAGGGGUUGAGACAUAAAAUUAUUAUUAAAAGUCAUAAUACCCAAUUCGGAUUGAAAACUUAGCUAUGAUACCAUAAAUGUUGAGGAUGAAGGAAUAAGGAAAUGAUAAAAACAGAAUACUAUGAUAUAAUUAAAAAAAAUAUUUUGAUCAAGAAAAUCGUUGUAGUAUUUAAAUAAGAUAUAAGAUAUGAACACUUACAAGAUAUUCUCAAGUGCACACUCUUUAUCUUAUUUCAUGAAUUAAGGUCUUAUUUAUAGGACAUAGUGGUAACUACCUCACUCCAUCAUGUCACCCGUGAUUGAAUUAGGUGUAGAAACUACCUUAUAAUUUUUAGAUCAUGGGUCAUUAUUUAAAAUAUGUCCACAACUAUUUAAAACAUGAUAACUAUCUAGAUAACUACUAUGAAUCAUUAAUUUUACGUUACUGUUUUCUUCGAGCGGAAGUGCUUCUAAAUGUGCUCGUGCAAUUGAUUAUCUUCUCAAUCGAUCUUGGUGUGCCAUUCGAUCAAACUCACGGUAUGGUGUUCGUGAACAAACGUUGAAGAUCAUGGAAGGAGUUUUUUUUUUGCUUGCUUGACGUAAUUGUGUGGAGAGAAACACACGAGGCAAGGGAAGUCCCUGUGUGGCCGGAGAAGGCAACGGAAGAUCAAGUGCAAGACAACCGAUGGCUUGGCUUUUUCUUCCCUGUAAAGGUGGAAGACGAGAUGGAUAGAUGAUCUAAUAUUAUAUUGCAUUGUUGAGGGUAUCCAAUCAUUGUACAUCUGUCCGUAGCCGUAGGAGUGUCCUAAAAAAGCAAUAACAGCUUGUUACUAAGACAUGUUUUAUAAACAAUCAAAACAAUUAAAUAUUACACGCAUUAUAUUAAGGCCGGCAGAAAAUGACUACUACUUUUCGAUACUCUCUUGUGUUGUGCUUACGUGAUUAUAGUAUGAUAUGAGACUGACAUAUGACCAACACUUCAGUAACGUACGACCUACACCUCAACCGGAGGAUCUCAUCCAAGCAAUGCAUAGUAGGCACUUUGACACUCAACGGUAGGAAUCUAAAGCUCUUCAACCCCUAAUGUAUGGAAUUUGAGGUGACUUCGUAAUUUUCUUUUACAAAUUUUAAUAAAUAUAUAUUUCUCUCUAAAUAUUAUUAUCAUUCAAAUAAAUCCUUCACAUUAACGUUCUUUAAAAAGAAACCAAGAUAACCACAAUAAUCAUGGUUUUCUUCAAUUGACCAUUUGACUUCAAACCAAUUUUUAACAUAAAAUAUUUUAUAUAUCUUACUAUCUUAAUAAGGCUUGUAAAAUGUAUCAAUGUCGCUCUAAUGGUGAAAUAACAGACAUGGAGAAUAAUUUUACAGUCUCCAUAUAUAAAUAAAAAAAUCACUCUAUGUAUAAGAACACACAAAGGUAUAAUUACACUAAAAACAAUACAAUUAUCGAUGCCCCUCGCAAAAAUAUUUUAUAUCGGUUGUAUUUAAUCGGCUCACGUCGAUCAAGGUUUGUGUUUUGUCGUUAAAUCAAUCAAGUUGUCCAUUUGAUAUCAUUCAUUUACGUGCAUUUGUCCAUCAAAUAAUAAUAGUUGGACCAUGAGUUGGCUAUCUUAUCUUCCUGCCCAUCAAAACCCUUCCAUGAUGUGGCAUCGAAUAAACUUACGAUUAAAACAUGAUGAAUCAACCCUUACAAUUUAUAACAAAUAAUUGGACCGAUUCUUCCAAAUUUUAUAGUCCCAUCGUGAGGGAUGCAUGACCAAACAACCUCGCCCACAGCAUUUGACGCAGCCAUCACUAACCUUAUCGCUUUUAAAUGCAUAGUAUGGUAAAAAUAAUGAUAAUAAACUCGCGUCACAAGUUGAUAUUUUUAUUGGUUUUAGUCAAUUUCCACUUGAAGCACGUGAAUGACGUAAAUGACAUUACAGUUCGCAUUGCGUACGCAUCUAACUCUUUUGACUGGAAGCUCCUCCAAUUGCAUGUCCAUGAAUCAGAUAUGGAUGAUAUGGUACCACUUUUCCAUUGUCUUCCCACGCACAUCAUCCACGGUUUCCACACAGACUAGUAGAAGUAAAAUUGCCAACUCAUCUACCUCCAUCUAUCAAUAUAUUAUAUAAUCUCGUUCUUGCAUCGCGUGUUCUGCGACCAUCAACCGGAGACAUUAACAAUUAUGAGCCAUUCCAACACGUCUAAGUACACGUCAGAUUCAUCGGGAUGGCAUAAUCUCUUGAUAAGUCAAUGGGCUUUACCUCCCUUAUUUUAUCUGAAUUUUUUUCUGACUGUGUAAACAAAUUCACCUAUAUAUACAGACAUGCCCGGAUCAACUCUGGACAACCAUCAUGGCCGCCACCCACAUUGCCCUGUUCGUUUCCGGCCUUGCCGUCUUGCUUCUCCUCGUCCAAGGAUCGCCGCCAGGGCCUGUUGUCCAGUGCCGGUCUGGCAACACUAACUGCACCGUGACCAACGGCUAUGGAGCCUUUCCUGAUCGCAGUACCUGCCGCGUCGCCGCGGUCGCGUACCCUUCGAACGAACAGGAGCUCCUGUUAGCUGUCUCCGACGCCACCGUGAAGCAGCAGCACGUGAAGGCGGUCACGGUGUACUCACACAGCAUCCCCAAGCUGUCGUGCCCCGGCGGGCCGAGCGGCCAGGGCCUGGUAAUCAGUACCCAGCGCCUCAACAGAUCGGUGAGCGUGGACUUGGCCACCUCGCGGAUGACGUUCGAGGCAGGGAUCACACUUAGGGCGCUCCUUGACGCGGCGGCCGCCCGUGGCCUGGCGCUGCCCCACUCGCCGUAUUGGCAAGGGGUGACGCUGGGCGGGCUGCUGAGCACCGGCUCACACGGGAGCUCGGUGUUCGGGAAAGGCUCGGCGGUGCACGAAUAUGUGGUAGGGAUGAGGCUGGUGGUUCCAAGUCCGGUCCCGGUGAACGGAUCCUACGCCAAGAUCGUUAAUCUUGGUGAGGACGAUCCUGAUCUCUUGGCUGCCAAGGUUUCUCUCGGUGUUCUUGGAGUUAUUUCUCAGGUAUAUAUGCGGUGACCUACUUGUUAUUCUUUGUUCUUUACACGGUUUGAGAUCCAUGUGAUAACUCAUCUUAGUUCUUCACGGUGUUUCUUCCAACCACGUCGAGUACUUUCAUAAACUGAGUACAUGACUUGCUACGUCUCGAUGCUAAUUAGGUGCAACUCUAUAUUUAAUUGUUCAUUCUAUUGUUAGUAUCAAGACUUUGUUUGCACUACGUCAGCAAAAUGUCGAGACAAAAAAAAACUUGUUUUCAGUCAAAUCACUUUGCGAAGGAAGACUUGUUCUUUUCCUCCAAUAUAUAAAGUUAUGUAAAAUAAUUGGCAGUUGAUGAUCCCAAUGGACUUUAGUUUUAAUCUUCCCUUCUUUUCUUGCUUUGCUUGUAUUCCUUUUUUGAAAAUGGGCUAAUGCAAACGUUUGAAUCGUUCUAUUGAUUCCAUGUACCUUCCCUCCUAGUUUGUAGUAACUACAUAGCACAGUUGAGUGUUAUGGAACAUAUGAGCACAUUCAAACCCACAUGGACAAAGAUCAGAGAAAAAGCAAACUUAAAUGAGAGUGAAGGCAUGAUUUGAAGCCAUCAUUUUACAUCUAUGGUUGUUCCAUCUAGUUAUAUCUUAUAGAUGUAGAGUUUUUUUCUUGGAAGAACAGCUACAGUGACGUUGAUGAUGACUCGGGGUAAAUGAGAGUGCCCCUUCCUUCACAUAUGGAGCCUCGCGCAAGGCAAGAGGCAGGCAGGUCUACGCUGCCUUGCCUUGCAGAGCUUACGACCGGGCCCGCCAUUGCCUUAAAAGCCUCAGUAACAAUUAUUAGGUUGAAGGACGAUAGGGGAUGUCAGUAGUAGUAGUUCUUGUUUCAAUCUUGUUGCCUGAAUAGCUGAAAAGAGUUGGUUUGCAAUACAAGUAAGCUUUUGUUCUGCUGCUUCAUUAUAAGUAACCUAAGAAUUACUUGAACCGAUCGCGCAGGUCACCCUCCAACUUGAGCCGAUGUUCAAGCGAUCCAUCACCAACAGGGUCGUAAGCGACGUUGGCUUCGAGCAAACCAUCUCCUCGUACGCUGUCACUACUCACUAUGGAGACAUCAUCUGGUAUCCAUCACAAGGCAGAGUGGUGUAUCGAGAUGAUAUCAAGGUCCCCAUCACCACCAAAGGAAAGGGUGUAAACAACUUCUUAGGGUUCCGAGCGCAGCCCACCCUUGUCAUAGCCUCUACACGUGCUUCAGGUGUUAUAAAUUGCAGCUUUUAUUUUGCUUGACAAUCUUGAUGUAGUGUUCGAGUAGUAUCGUACUUGAUUUAUACUAACAAGGCAUCUCUUGUCCUCUACGAUGUGUUUGUGUUUAUGACUGCAGAGGAACUAUCGGAACUAACAGGAAAUGCCGAAGGCAAAUGCGUGCUGUCCAGAUUGCAAGCGGAUACUCUGAUUGCGACCGGCAUGGGCCUUAAGAACAAUGAUGGCGGCUUGUUAGAUUUCACCGGCUAUCCGGUCGUUGGAAACCAAAGCGACAUGCAAUCCGCUGGUAGGUCCUCAAAUUAUUCCAGGAAUGUAUAUAAUGACACAUGUAACACCUGAAUUAUUUAGUCUGAGUCAUCUUCUCUCCAGGUUCAUGCCUACGGAGUGCAGAAGACAAACUUCUCACGGCUUGUGGAUGGGACCCUCGUUUUGCGGGGCUCUUCUACCACCAAUCCGCGAUAAGCAUCCCCUUCACCACCAUCGCUGACUUCAUCGCCGACGUCAAGAAGCUCCGCGACGCCCACCCCAACGCACUCUGCGGCACCGAGCUGUACUUGGGCUUCUUCAUGCGCUUCGUCCGCAGCUCCACAGCCUAUCUUGGCAAAACCGACGACGUGGUGGACAUCGACAUCACUUACUAUCGUUCCAAGGAUCCAAAACGGCCGCGACUCUACGAGGAUGUGAUCGAAGAGAUCGAACAGUUGGCCUUGUUCAAGUACAAUGGGUUGCCCCACUGGGGGAAGAAUAGAAACGUCGGCUUCCUCAAUAUCAAGAACAAGUUGGGGGCCAAGCUGGACAAGUUUGUGAGUGCCAUGCAAAAAUAUGACAGCAAUGGAUUGUUCUCUUCAGAUUGGACCGAUGCGGUGCUGGGACUGCGUGGGAAGGAAGUUGUGGUGCAGGGAAAUGGUUGCGCAUUGGAGGGGUUGUGCAUUUGCUCCACUGAUGACCACUGUGCUCCUAAACAGGGCUAUUAUUGUCGACCUGGAGAAGUCUAUGAUCAGGCUCGAGUGUGCCGGAAGAUUAAAUCCGUUGAAGCUGAUGGUCAGGCAGACAGCUUGUGAUACCGUUCACAUUCAUUUGCUGUAAGGUUUGUAUCGGUGUCACUUCCUCUUUGAACAGACGAUGUAAUG